This 87-nucleotide transfer RNA is filed under the name Vibrio parahaemolyticus. RNAcentral's name for it is "tRNA-Leu". It matches the Rfam family "tRNA". Rfam says of the family: Transfer RNA (tRNA) molecules are approximately 80 nucleotides in length. Their secondary structure includes four short double-helical elements and three loops (D, anti-codon, and T loops). The record is from RNAcentral. Lineage: Bacteria; Pseudomonadati; Pseudomonadota; Gammaproteobacteria; Vibrionales; Vibrionaceae.
GCCCUGGUGGUGGAAUUGGUAGACACAAGGGAUUUAAAAUCCCUCGGCGUUCGCGCUGUGCCGAUUCAAGUCCGGCCCGGGGCACCA